GAUCAGCAUGCCGCGGUGAAUACGUUCCCGGGCCUUGUACACACCGCCAGUCACACCAUGAGAGCCGGGAACACCCGAAGUCCGUAGUCUAACCGCAAGGAGGACGCGGCCGAAGGUGGGUUUGGUAAUUGGGGUGAAGUCGUAACAAGGUAUC
Molecule: ribosomal RNA, 154 nt
Filed under: uncultured bacterium
Lineage: Bacteria
Description: partial 16S ribosomal RNA
Rfam family: Bacterial small subunit ribosomal RNA
Source: RNAcentral